CCCUAAGUUAAUCCCCUGAUAAUAUUUAUAUAGAGCAAGUAUAUCCCCCGCAGCCUUUUUUGCCAGGCUCAACAAGGCCAAGCUCUUUGAGUCUCCUUUCACAAGGU
This is a non-coding RNA of Chelonoidis abingdonii (Abingdon island giant tortoise), 107 nucleotides long. The record is from RefSeq and is a predicted model, not a curated record. NCBI's taxonomy places the organism in Eukaryota, Metazoa, Chordata, Testudines, Testudinidae.